RNAcentral lists this non-coding RNA (1359 nucleotides) under Schistocephalus solidus. RNAcentral's name for it is "Eukaryotic large subunit ribosomal RNA". It matches the Rfam family "Eukaryotic large subunit ribosomal RNA", at positions 2477 to 3377 of the family's 3401-position model. The record is from Rfam by way of RNAcentral. Lineage: Eukaryota; Metazoa; Platyhelminthes; Cestoda; Diphyllobothriidea; Diphyllobothriidae.
CCUUUUGCGGGACAACUCGUGUAAUCGACGAAGAUUUUCUUGGAAAUCAUCUGCAUCAGCAGCAUUGUGGGAGGCGGUAAUCGCCCUCUGGGGUCUCUCGUUCAACAAUUAAAGACCACUCCCAUCAUUGUUUCUUUACUUAUUCAGUGAAGCGGGAACUGUCAAUUAUUUUCCGUGUUGAUAUUUAGAACACGUUAGUGCGUUGGUCUCACCCCUUGUGUGGCUGGCGUGCAAACGUCUUGGUCACAACUGUCUGGCCAGGGCUAGUGGUGUGCGUGUGUUGCCCUCUUCUGCUUCUAGGAUUUUGCUGCUGCAAGGUGGCAGCCUUCAUAGCUGGCUGACGGAGAGCGCGUGUGUCCAGCCGUGGUCUUAUCAGGCAGGUUUGGCGACGUGCGACCCGAUCUGAAGAUAGUGUCAGGCGGGUAGUUUAACUUAGGCGGUCCAUCUGUCAAAUCGUAACACAGAUGUCCCAAGGUGAGCUCAGCCAGGACAUAAACCUGGCGUAUAGUAAAAUGGCCAAAGCUUACUUGAUUUUUAUUUUUAGUGCAAAUACAGACUGUGAAAGCGUGGCCUAGCGAUCCUUUUGAUCAACCGAUAUUCAAAAGUUUGAAGAAAGAGGUGUCAGAACAGUUACAACAGGGAUAACUGGCUUGUGGCGUUCAUGGUUCAUAGUGACGUCACUUUUUAAUCAUUCGAUGUCGGCCCUUCCUAGCAUUUUGAAGCAGAAUAUUUAUUGCGUUGGAUGGUUUACCUACUAAAAGGGAACGUAAGCUGGGAUAAGAUCAACGUGAGACAGGUUACUUUUACCCUACUGAUAGUGGAACUGUGUAAACUGUGAAGUACAAUCUGGUUAUUGCAAUGGUAAUCCUGUUUAGUACGACUGGUACCGCAGGUUCAGACAUUUGAUACAUGUGCCUGGUCGAGCGGCCAAUGGUGCGAAGCUACCAUCUGAGGGAUUAAGANACCGCAGGUUCAGACAUUUGAUACAUGUGCCUGGUCGAGCGGCCAAUGGUGCGAAGCUACCAUCUAAGGAAUAAAGACUAAACGCCUCUAAGUCUGAAUCCCGUCCAGAGAUACGCAAAAAUACAGUUUGGCAUGCCACGUGGUUGGGCAGAUAAAGUACUUUCCGGUAAGUAUUCAUUCGGAUGGGGCCAGCGUUCCCUACCAAACCUCGUCGGUUUGAAAUGUUAUGCUUGAGCUGUGACCAUAACCACAUGCACCAGGCCGUGUUGUUUUUGGGGUCGACACGAUAUGCAAUUAUGAAAUGAGCGUGGCGGCUCUUAAUCGUUUGAAGACGACUUAAUGUUUUGUCGAGGAGACGUGAGUAUUCGAGGAGCUAUCACACAUAUAUAUAAAUUA